AGUUACAAGUGUCUAACGGGACUGCCGGUUAUACCGGAGAGGUGGGAUGACGUCAAGUCAGCAUGGCCUCUAUGUCCAGGGCUACACACACGCUACAAUGGCCGGUACAGUGGGUAGCCAAGCCGCGAGGCGGAGCCAAUCCUGAAAGCAGGCCUCAGUUCAGAUUGCAGUCUGCAACUCGACUGCAUGAAGCCGGAGUUGCUAGUAACCGCAGGUCAGCAAUACUGCGGUGAAUACGUUCCCGGGUCUU
Molecule: ribosomal RNA, 250 nt
Filed under: uncultured Anaerolineaceae bacterium
Lineage: Bacteria; Bacillati; Chloroflexota; Anaerolineae; Anaerolineales; Anaerolineaceae
Description: partial 16S ribosomal RNA
Rfam family: Bacterial small subunit ribosomal RNA
Source: RNAcentral